This 144-nucleotide ribosomal RNA is filed under the name uncultured eukaryote. RNAcentral's name for it is "partial 18S ribosomal RNA". It matches the Rfam family "Eukaryotic small subunit ribosomal RNA", at positions 1299 to 1458 of the family's 1831-position model. The record is from RNAcentral.
UCGUGGAUUGAUUUGUCUGGUUAAUUCCGAUAACGAACGAGACCUUAACCUACUAGUUGGGUUCGGUCUUUAUUUUAAAGGCUUUUUUGAACCCUCUUAGGGGGACAGCUGGCAUUUAGCCAGAGGAGGUUUGAGGCAAUAACA